UGGGGAAUAUUGCACUAUGGGCGAAUGCCUGAUGCAGCGACGCCGCGUGAGGGAUGAAGGCCUUCGGGUUGUAAACCUCUUUCAGCAAGGAAGAAGCGAAAGUGACGGUACCUGCAGAAGAAGCACCGGCUAACUACGUGCCAGCAGCCGCGGUAAUACGUAGGGUGCAAGCGUUGUCCGGAAUUAUUGGGCGUAAAGAGCUCGUAGGCGGUUUGUCGCGUCUGCUGUGAAAACUCAGGGCUUAACCCUGAGCCUGCAGUGGGUACGGGCAGACUAGAGUGUGGUAGGGGAGAUCGGAAUUCCUGGUGUAGCGGUGGAAUGCGCAGAUAUCAGGAGGAACACCGGUGGCGAAGGCGGAUCUCUGGGCCAUAACUGACGCUGAGGAGCGAAAGCAUGGGGAGCGAACA
Molecule: ribosomal RNA, 407 nt
Filed under: uncultured bacterium
Lineage: Bacteria
Description: bacterial SSU rRNA
Rfam family: Bacterial small subunit ribosomal RNA
Source: RNAcentral